Syngnathus typhle (broad-nosed pipefish) is the source of this 1239-nucleotide long non-coding RNA. RefSeq lists it as uncharacterized. The record is from RefSeq and is a predicted model, not a curated record. Lineage: Eukaryota; Metazoa; Chordata; Actinopteri; Syngnathiformes; Syngnathidae. The transcript is spliced from 2 exons.
UUGGAAGGAAGUUGAAGUUAGCUGGACAAGUAGCAAAAGCUUGAUUCCAUUUUGAGUAGAUUACUUUUACCCAAGGUUGGGUUUAUUAUUUUAACCCAGCAGAUUGGGUCAGGUCCUCCCUGACUGACCCACUUUUGGGUUAGCUAUUUCACCCAAUUUGGGUUACUUUUAAGCAGCCAUUUUAAGAGUGAAAAUUUGAUUUUUAAUGAGAUGGUGAUCUGGGAAUGUACUUUUCGCUCUAACAAAGUGUCACUUCACUUUACAGGAACAAUAAAAGGAUCCCCCAGCCCCCCAAAUCCCCGUGUCAUCUGCCCGGCCUGAGAAAGAAUUUCAUGAGGUCUGCGAGGUCCUGUUCCCUCCAUUGUUGAGUUGGCGGGAUGGCACGACCCCCUCCGCUCCAUAAAAUGGCAGGCAAGCCUUUACACAGCACAGGCCACACAGAGACUUCAGAAGGGUUCGCUUGAUUCCAACAAACGAGGAGCUAAUUGAAGAAGAAAGCUCUCGCCACCUGCAAACGGGUCACCUGAUCGACCAUCGAUCAUCCCCUCACCCCCCUGACCCGCACAAUAGAACCCUCCCAAGCCGGCUCCUGUUACGCCGACCGCCUUGGGACAGAAAGCGCAUGAAAGUGUUCUUUUGUGCACCGGCUUGAUCUCAGGUAAAGGCACUUACACGCCUCUUUGGUCACAAACACACAAAGGCACUGGGGGGGGGAAACAUAAACAACUCAGUGGGUUUCAGUGCAAAUGGACAUUUUUCAUAAUGUUUUUUUUUUUUUUACUUUUUAAAGAAAAUAAGCACUUGUGGUUGCUAUUUCCCUUUUUCUAAACUGUGUCAAGUAACUUCAACUGUAAAUUCAUCUGAACUACUUAAGUGAGCUUAACACCACAACAAAGACUUAUUUUGGUUUUUUACAUCCACUAACUAGUCCGAACACUAAAACAGGAAACAGUUAUGUACUGAGCUACAACAGAAUGCUCCCACCGAAUCCUCAUUUUAUAUUUUUUACAUUUCUGAGCAGCCAUGUCUGACCCCCUCUUUUAAAUUUUUUUCUCCGUCUUUGAAAAUUCCUAAACAGAUUUUUAUCUCCAGCGACUCACUCAUGCACAAAGUAGUCCCACAAUGAGAUCAUGGCAUGGUUGAAGCCUGUGAUGUGUUUAAGUGUGAUGCAUCGAUGAGGAAAUGCGACUCAACAAGAGAUGCCAUUCACACAUUUCACACAAGAGUCAUUUGCCGCAA